CCCGGUGAGAUUUUAACGGCCGCAGUUAGAAGCUGUGCUAAGGUAGCGUAGUCAGUUGUCCUUUAAAUGGGGAAAGGAAUGAAUGGUUUGACGUGAGGGAAUCUGUCUCUAACAAAGUGAAAGAAAUUUUCUUUUUGGUGAAAAGCCCAAAAUUAAAUUAAAAGACGAGAAGACCCUUUCGAGCUUAAAUAGGUCUUAAAAAAUUAUUAAGGGUAAAGUUUGGUUGGGGCAACCUAGGAGCAAAAGUAGACUCCUUACGCUUAUAAUGAGCCAAAAAUUUUGAAAAGAGAAAAAGCUACCGUAGGGAUAACAGCGUUAUCCUCUCUGAGAGAACAUAUUGAAGAGGGGGUUUGCGACCUCGAUGUUGAAUUAAAGUUUCCGUUGGGCGCAGAG
This 393-nucleotide ribosomal RNA is filed under the name Galeommatoidea sp. MN19376. RNAcentral describes it as "partial 16S ribosomal RNA". It matches the Rfam family "Bacterial large subunit ribosomal RNA", at positions 1862 to 2560 of the family's 2925-position model. The record is from RNAcentral. Lineage: Eukaryota; Metazoa; Mollusca; Bivalvia; Galeommatida.